AGCGCAGGCGGACCGGCAAGUUGGAAGUGAAAACUAUGGGCUCAACCCAUAAAUUGCUUUCAAAACUGCUGGCCUUGAGUAGUGCAGAGGUAGGUGGAAUUCCCGGUGUAGCGGUGGAAUGCGUAGAUAUCGGGAGGAACACCAGUGGCGAAGGCGACCUACUGGGCACCAACUGACGCUGAGGCUCGAAAGCAUGGGGAGCAAACA
Molecule: ribosomal RNA, 207 nt
Filed under: uncultured bacterium
Lineage: Bacteria
Description: partial 16S ribosomal RNA
Rfam family: Bacterial small subunit ribosomal RNA
Source: RNAcentral